This is a long non-coding RNA of Oreochromis niloticus (Nile tilapia), 1834 nucleotides long. RefSeq annotates it as chemokine XC receptor 1. Lineage: Eukaryota; Metazoa; Chordata; Actinopteri; Cichliformes; Cichlidae. The transcript is spliced from 2 exons. The record is from RefSeq and is a predicted model, not a curated record.
UGCAAUUCAGCAGAAGACCUGAGUUUGAGGUAAGUUCAGAGAAAUGCAAUAUGGAUGUAGGCAGUUAUUUGUCAGGUUUAAAUUUGUUGACAUUUAUUUUUCAGGAUGUGGUUUUUGUCAAGUCAGAAUCUCUGAAUUAAUGUGGAACAAAAGGAGGAACUAUUAGUUUUCGAAAGAACACCCUACAGCUCUUUCACAACAGUAAAAUUCAGCUGAAGACUUGAAAGUUGAUAUUUGUGAAGAUUGAAAAUGGCAAACUUCACAUCCACAUAUGACAAUGUGAGUGAUGGUGCUGCAUACCUUUGUGAUACUAAUGUUCCCACCAUCACUGGUCCCCUUUUCAUCUUGAUCUUCAUCCUCAGUAUCACAUGCAACAGUCUCCUCUUAUGUGUUCUCUUCAUCUACGAAAAUCUGAAAAGUAUCACAAAUAUUUUCAUCCUGAACCUGGUCUGCUCCGAUUUGAUCUUCACCAUUACACUUCCAUUCUGGGCUGUUGAUCAUCUUCACCACUGGGUCUUUGAAGGCUUUGUCUGCAAAUUCGUGACUGCUGCAUUCUUUGUUGGUCUGUACAGCAGUGUCAUUCUGCUGACUGCCAUGACAGUGGAUCGUUUCAUUACUGUGGUGCUGCACAACUGGCCGAUCAGCUAUGCCAGAAUGAAGAGGUGUGCAAUUGGUGCCUGUAUAGCUGCCUGGGUCAUCAGCAUCUCAGCGUCCCUGAGUGAUGCAAUGAAAGUAAAGGUUGAAAACUGGUAUGGUAAAAACUAUUGCUAUUAUGAAUCUGAAGAAAAGCUUGGACGUUAUCUCCAAGUGUCACUGCUAUUCUUCCUCCCAUUUGCCAUCAUUAUUUUCUGCUAUUCUGCCAUCCUCAAGACAGUUUUACAAGGUUUAAACAGAAAGAAGUUCAGGACUGUGGCUGUGCUGUUGUGUAUUGUUGCAGUCUUUUUCAUUUGCUGGGGGCCAUACCAUAUUGUGCUUUUAAUCAAGUCUCUCAAUACAAACAAAGAUUGUAAUGUACUGAAACGGUUAGAAGUUGCCUACCAUAUUUGUGAAAUGCUUGCCUAUUCUCACUGCUGUAUGAACCCUCUGCUGUAUAUGCUCUCACAGAAGUUGCGAAAGCAUCUGUUGAAUCUUUUGCGCUGUGAAAAAGUGAACAGGAAGAAGAGAGAGAGAAGCACCAGCCUGAACACUUCACAACAUUUCACAUUGCAGAGCUCUGCUGUUUAGAUGGAACUGCACAACUAUCCAUUUAACAGUCACUAAUGAAAUUAAACCUUGAUUCAGGCUGAUAGAGUCAAAGUACUUUGAUGUGUAAGUGUAUUAACACAUUCAUUGAGGCAAACAGAGCAGCAUUUAGAGUGACAUGGACUGUAAAAGUAACAAUAUCUGGUGUAUUUUUCCUUUUAUCUUCAGGCUGCAAAUAUGUUCAUACAAUAUCGUUUCUACUCAUUUAAUUUCAUAUCUUUUGCAUAAUUGCUUGAAAUAAAACAAUGUUAAAUAAAACUUGAAAAUAUGCAAUGAAUUAUACAAGUUUUCAGGUAUUUAAAAUAUUUGAUGUGACUUUUUCAUUGAGUCACAGUGAUCCUGGUAGACUCAUUUCUAAAUCAUUUGACUCUCUUCUUAAAAAAAUUGUAUUUAAUAUUCUGAUUUUUAUUCCAUUCACCUUUUUUAAUAUAUUUUAUUUAUUUAAACCUCCUAAGGUCCAACAAUUAAUUUUUGUCCUGUGUCUGUGACGUGAGUCUGAGUCUAUGCAGUAAAAGUCUGAGUACCUGAUAUUUUCAUCCAAUGUUCACAGUUAAGGAUGUAGAGGGCAGGAUGAGACAAAUUAUUUUACUCA